CAGCCGCCGCGGUAAUACGAAGGGGGCUAGCGUUGCUCGGAAUGACUGGGCGUAAAGGGCGCGUAGGCGGCUGACACAGUCAGAUGUGAAAUUCCUGGGCUCAACCUGGGGACUGCAUUUGAGACGUGUUGGCUUGAGUGGAGAAGAGGGUCGUGGAACUUCCAGUGUAGAGGUGAAAUUCGUAGAUAUUGGAAAGAACACCGGUGGCGAAGGCGGCGACCUGGUCUUUAACUGACGCUGAGGCGCGAAAGCGUGGGGAGCAAACAGGAUUAGAUACCCGAGUAGUCCCUGUCUCUUAUAC
This 301-nucleotide ribosomal RNA is filed under the name uncultured bacterium. Its description in RNAcentral is "partial 16S ribosomal RNA". It matches the Rfam family "Bacterial small subunit ribosomal RNA", at positions 509 to 807 of the family's 1533-position model. The record is from RNAcentral.